RNAcentral lists this ribosomal RNA (713 nucleotides) under Colletotrichum gloeosporioides. Its description in RNAcentral is "SSU rRNA". The stretch from base 1 to 566 matches the Rfam family "Bacterial small subunit ribosomal RNA", at positions 331 to 873 of the family's 1533-position model. The record is from RNAcentral. Lineage: Eukaryota; Fungi; Ascomycota; Sordariomycetes; Glomerellales; Glomerellaceae.
CCUUACCAUCCUACGGCUGACUGGCACUUGGAGAAGUGGCAAGUCUUCCAGUAUGGGGAGCAAAACAGCUAUGGGUCAAGUCCGAUAUCUUUAGGAGAAGUCUUAUUGUGAGGGCGAGUUUUAUAACACCAUAGGACUGGCCGUCCCAUAUGAAAAGAUUAUAUUAGAAUUGAAUGAAGCUUUGUUUAUAUAUUGAUAAUGACAGUAUAUAUAUCGUGUCUUGACUAAUUGCGUGCCAGCAGUCGCGGUAAUACGUAAGAGACUAGUGUUAUUCAUCUUAAUUAGGUUUAAAGGGUACCCAGACGGUCAAUAUAGCUUAUAAAAUGUUAGUACUUGACUAGAGUUUUAUGUAAGAGGGCAGUACUUGAGGAGGAGAGAUGAAAUUUCGUGAUACCAAAGGGACUCGGUAAAGGCGAAGGCAGCCCUCUAGGUAAAAACUGACGUUGAAGGACGAAGGCACAGAGAACAAACAGGAUUAGAUACCCAAGUAGUCUUUGCAGUAAAUGAUGAGUGCCAUAGGUUAGAUCUGGGUGGAUAGUCUAGUUGAGUUAGUGUACGUUACCACCGAUGUGGAUCACCCCAACCCCCCCUUAAGUUUGGGUUUUAUAUGGGAAGGGGAGAGGUUGCCCCCCUCAUGUGGUGGGCGCCCAAGGGGGAUCGAGAAACCUUACCGGAGUUGAGAGAGAGAAGUAGGGAAUUUGUUAUUACCCCCG